ACAUAGGGGGCGAGCGUUGUUCGGAAUGACUGGGCGUAAAGGGCGCGUAGGCGGCCGGGUAAGUUGGGAGUGAAAUUCCUGCUUUUAAGGUGGGAACUGCUUUCAAAACUGCCUGGCUUGAGUGCGGAAGAGGUAAGUGGAAUUCCCAGUGUAGCGGUGAAAUGCGUAGAGAUUGGGAGGAACACCAGUGGCGAAGGCGACUUACUGGGCCGUAACUGACGCUGAUGCGCGAAAGCGUGGGGAGCAAACAG
RNAcentral lists this ribosomal RNA (251 nucleotides) under uncultured prokaryote. RNAcentral describes it as "partial 16S rRNA". It matches the Rfam family "Bacterial small subunit ribosomal RNA", at positions 525 to 775 of the family's 1533-position model. The record is from RNAcentral.